GAUGAACGCUGGCGGCGUGCCUAAUACAUGCAAGUCGAACGCAUAGCGAAAGGUGCUUGCACCUUUCAAGUGAGUGGCGAACGGGUGAGUAACACGUGGACAACCUGCCUCAAGGCUGGGGAUAACAUUUGGAAACAGAUGCUAAUACCGAAUAAAACUUAGUGUCGCAUGACACAAAGUUAAAAGGCGCUUCGGCGUCACCUAGAGAUGGAUCCGCGGUGCAUUAGUUAGUUGGUGGGGUAAAGGCCUACCAAGACAAUGAUGCAUAGCCGAGUUGAGAGACUGAUCGGCCACAUUGGGACUGAGACACGGCCCAAACUCCUACGGGAGGCUGCAGUAGGGAAUCUUCCACAAUGGGCGAAAGCCUGAUGGAGCAACGCCGCGUGUGUGAUGAAGGCUUUCGGGUCGUAAAGCACUGUUGUAUGGGAAGAACAGCUAGAAUAGGAAAUGAUUUUAAUUUGACGGUACCAUACCAGAAAGGGACGGCUAAAUACGUG
This 497-nucleotide ribosomal RNA is filed under the name uncultured bacterium. RNAcentral's name for it is "partial 16S ribosomal RNA". It matches the Rfam family "Bacterial small subunit ribosomal RNA", at positions 28 to 507 of the family's 1533-position model. The record is from RNAcentral.